RNAcentral lists this ribosomal RNA (912 nucleotides) under Triticum aestivum (bread wheat). RNAcentral describes it as "partial small subunit ribosomal RNA". The record is from RNAcentral. Lineage: Eukaryota; Viridiplantae; Streptophyta; Magnoliopsida; Poales; Poaceae.
AUGUUUCUUAUACCUAAGCAUAUUUCCCGAGGAUUCGGAAAUCCAGAUGAGGCAUCUAGUAGAAAGAUGAUUGCCGAGGGGUUGAUUAGGUGUGGGACUGGGGUGAACAUCGAGGAUGUGGCAAAAGGUUAUUUCAAUGAGUUAAUCAACCGAAGCAUGCUUCAAGCAUCAAGGUUGAACAUAGAAGGAGUUGUGAAGCGUUGUCGAGUCCAUGAUAUUGUGCGUGAUGUCAUGAUCUCAGUUUCUAGAGAUGAAAAUUUUGUGCAUGUGGCGGGACAUAAUGUAACUGGAGCUACGGACGAGACCUUCCGACAUGUAGAAUACCAUGGUAGCAUGUGCCAAAAUAUAGAUAUGGAUUGGAGCCACGUCCAGUCAGUAACUGUGUUUGGUGAGAGAUCAUUGGGGCCAUCGCCUUCAGUUUGUUCACCUGGCAUGAGAAUGCUCCGGGCCUUGGAUCUAGAAAAUGCACAGUUUCAAGUCACACAAAAGGAUAUCAGCAACAUAGGAUUGUUUCGCCACAUGAAGUAUCUGAAGUUUUCUUACCCACCAGGGUAUUCACAUAUUUAUAAACUUCCUGGAUCCAUAGGGAGAUUGCAAGGCUUGCGCACUUUGAACAUUAGAGACAGUUAUAUUACAGAACUGCCAACUGAGAUUUGUAAACUCAAAAAUCUACACAGUCUUCGUUGUACCAGAAAUAAUUCCUAUGAAUACUUUGACCUGAAUGACACCAAGAAUUGCUUGUUGAGCACAUUCUGUUGGCCCGUGUUGUUCACACCUUUGGCAGAUCCUAGUGAGCGUGCCAGGUUAGUUACUGACCUACACAUGGCAUGGUCUAGCUGUGAGGGUCCCAAAAGGAAUUGGCAAACUAAAAGAGUUGCAAAUACUAGAGGUGGUGGACAUCAGCCGAACUAG